AGUGAACGCUGGCGGUAGGCCUAACACAUGCAAGUCGAACGGCAGCACAGUAAGAGCUUGCUCUUACGGGUGGCGAGUGGCGGACGGGUGAGGAAUACAUCGGAAUCUACUUUUUCGUGGGGGAUAACGUAGGGAAACUUACGCUAAUACCGCAUACGACCUACGGGUGAAAGCAGGGGAUCUUCGGACCUUGCGCGAUUGAAUGAGCCGAUGUCGGAUUAGCUAGUUGGCGGGGUAAAGGCCCACCAAGGCGACGAUCCGUAGCUGGUCUGAGAGGAUGAUCAGCCACACUGGAACUGAGACACGGUCCAGACUCCUACGGGAGGCAGCAGUGGGGAAUAUUGGACAAUGGGCGCAAGCCUGAUCCAGCCAUACCACGUGGGUGAAGAAGGCCUUCGGGUUGUAAAGCCCCUUUGUUGGGAAAGAAAAGCAGCAGGUUAAUACCCCGCUGUUCUGACGGUACCCAAAGAAUAAGCACCGGCUAACUUCGUG
This 492-nucleotide ribosomal RNA is filed under the name uncultured bacterium. Its description in RNAcentral is "partial 16S ribosomal RNA". It matches the Rfam family "Bacterial small subunit ribosomal RNA", at positions 29 to 507 of the family's 1533-position model. The record is from RNAcentral.